GUCUCGUAUGGCCCCGCCCCACCAUUCCCCGGAAGCGGCCGUGGCGGGGGCAGCGGAGGAAACCGAGGCGCUGCGGGGCGCGGGCACCGGGGCGCUGGCCCGGCGGCUGCCGCGGACCCCCCGAGCGCCCUCCUUGCUCCCGGCGCGGCCAUGGCGCGGGGCCUGCGGAGCUGGCUGGGCGGCUGUCUCCUGGUGUCAGCUUUAGGAAUGGUGCCACCUCCUGAAAAUAUCAGAAUGAAGUCUGUGAAUUUCAAGAACAUUCUACAGUGGGAGGUGCCUGCUUUUCCCAAAGGGAAUCUGACAUUCACAGCUCAGUACCAUAGUUACAAAAAAUUCCAAGACUUGUGCAUAAGUACUGCCUUGACGGAAUGCGAUUUCUCAAGUCUUUCCAAGUAUGGUGAUCACACCUUGAGGGUCAGGGCUGAAUAUGCAGAUGAACACUCAGACUGGGUGAACAUCACCUUCUGUCCUGUGGAUGACACCAUGAUUGGACCACCUGGAAUGCAAGUAGAAGCACUUGCUAAUUCUUUACAUAUGCGUUUCUUAGCCCCCAAAAUUGAGAAUGAACCUGAAACAUGGACCAUGAGGAAUAUUUAUAACUCAUGGGCUUAUAAUGUGCAAUAUUGGAAAAAUGGCUCUGAUGAAAAGUGGCUGACUACUCGUCAGUAUGACUUCGAGGUCCUCAGAGAUCUUGAGCCCUGGACAACUUACUGUGUUCAAGUUCAAGGGUUUCUUCCGGAUCGGAACAAAACUGGGGAAUGGAGUGAGCCUGUCUGCGAGCCAACGACCAAUGACGAGACCGCCCCGUCCUGGACCGUGGCCGUCGUCCUGGCCGCCUCCGUGUGUGUGGCCUUCCUGCUGCUCGGCUGCAGCACCCUGCUUUGGUGCUUGUACAAGAAGACCAAGCACACCUUCUCCCCUGGGGCCCGUCUGCCUCAGCACCUGAAGGAGAGACUGGUCAGACAGGAAAGGACACUGGGACCACGUGCCGUAGGGCAGAUCAAAGCCAGAGCUGUUGGAAGGAGCCCCUGCUCCAAGACUAGAAGACGUUCCUCACCUGUGGAGGCAGGCCCUGGAAUGGCUGAGAAAUGCGGGCAGGGGAGCUGGAGAAGGGGCCAGAAGGGAGAGGACACAGGAAACCGUGACGACUGGGUUCAUUGCAUCAUGAGAUGCUCCACCCUGGCACGUGAUGUAAACGUUCGCCGACCACGGCUCAGAGAACAGUUCUGGGCUGAGGGAGACUCAGCAGGGACGGGCCUUGGAGUUGGAGCAGUAGGGAGGCUUCUCCAACCCCGAUAUAUUGAGUUUCUGGACGUGUCCCGCCGGGACACCAGCCUGACACUUGCUCUGCUGAGAUCCAGCACAUCUCCCGCUGGUCUUCUGUGUCCCCUUUCCCAGGAGAAUCCAGAGUGGUCCUCCUCCAUCCUUAUGAACCUGCUGGAUCCGAGAGUUUGGGGAAGUUACUUCUCACCGCAGUGUCUUCCUUUGCGCAGUUGAGAUCGCGCUGUCAUUCCUCUUGGCCCUCCCCUCCCUUCCAUCAGGUGGGAGGUGGACAUCCUGUGGCAUUGAACCAAGUCCCAUCAGAGGGUUGAGUGUGUGUGGCUAUCACAUUAAGAAGGGAGCAGAGUGUCAGAAGUGAGGCCACAAGUAAACAGCAGACGGGAGAGGGAACCUGCAGACUUUUGAGACCGUCUCCACCGCAUCCUGAAGAUCUAAGAGCAUCGGUGGACCUACCAGGAGGAAAAAUGGCAACAUGAAGUCGGCAGAUAUUCUAGGAAACACCUGGACAUCUUUCAUGGUUCAAGGAGUGCGAAAGACCCAGAUGGUUAGACUAGGGUUCCUGCUUGUAACUAGCCCCGACCCCUAAGAGAGACAAAUAAGCGAGGCCAUGUGCAUUAAAUGUGCUAGAUAGAGGAGUCUGGGUGGCUCAGUCGGUUGAGCGUCCGACUUUAGCUCAGGUCAUGAUCUCACGGUUUGUGGGUUCGAGCCCCACAU
This is an RNA transcript of Suricata suricatta (meerkat), 1995 nucleotides long. It is a transcript of the gene named interleukin 10 receptor subunit beta, with no coding region annotated. Lineage: Eukaryota; Metazoa; Chordata; Mammalia; Carnivora; Herpestidae. The record is from RefSeq and is a predicted model, not a curated record. The transcript is spliced from 9 exons.